ACCGCUUAAAUAUUUUGAUGAUUAUAACACAUGGUUAACAAUGGCUUUGAUAAAACCAUCAAACACAAAGAAGACUUAAAAUUACUCUUAUAAAUGUUGAAUGCUUUACCCUUGAUCAAAUGUCAAUGUAAUUGAAAUAAUUCUCAAUUUUGCCAUUGUUGAAACCUCUUAAACAUUUUGACCUGAUAACAAAAGGUUAACAACGGCUUUGAUGGGAGGUUUUGCUAGAAGAGGCAAUAAUAAGAUUGCUGUUUUAAAUGACCACAGAAAACUCCACAAAUUCAAAAUUAGGAAAAGAA
Molecule: unclassified non-coding RNA, 299 nt
Filed under: Hevea brasiliensis (rubber tree)
Lineage: Eukaryota; Viridiplantae; Streptophyta; Magnoliopsida; Malpighiales; Euphorbiaceae
Source: RNAcentral